AGCAGCCGCGGUAAUUCCAGCUCCAAUAGCGUAUAUUAAAGUUGUUGCAGUUAAAAAGCUCGCAGUUGAAUUUCGGGGUUAGUAGGUUGGUCGUGCCUCUGGUAUGUACUCGCCUUACUGAUUCCUCCUUCUUGAAGAACUGUAAUGCCAUUAAUUUGGUGUUGCAGGGAAACAGGACUGUUACUUUGAAAAAUUAGAGUGUUUAAAGCAGGCCGAUGCCUGAAUACAUUAGCAUGGAAUAAUGAAAUAGGACGUUGAUCCUAUUUUGUUGGUUUCUAGGAUUGACGUAAUGAUUAAUAGGGAUAGUUGGGGGCAUUAGUAUUCAAUUGUCAGAGGUGAAAUUCUUGGAUUUAUUGAAGACUAACUACUGCGAAAGCAUUUGCCAAGGAUGUUUUCAUUAAUCAAGAACGAAAGUUAGGGGAUCGAAGACGAUCAGAUACCGUCGUAGUC
RNAcentral lists this ribosomal RNA (450 nucleotides) under uncultured Glomus. Its description in RNAcentral is "SSU rRNA". It matches the Rfam family "Eukaryotic small subunit ribosomal RNA", at positions 569 to 1025 of the family's 1831-position model. The record is from RNAcentral. Lineage: Eukaryota; Fungi; Glomeromycota; Glomeromycetes; Glomerales; Glomeraceae.